CAUUUCUUGACAAAGAGGGCAUAGCAUUGAGACAAUCAUGUCCUUAUCUACAUGAACAAAAUGGCAAGGUUAAGAGAAAACACAGACAUGUGGUAAAAACUGGACUCACAUUGCUAGCACAAGCUAAAAUGCCAUUAAAAUUUUGCCAAGAAGCCUUCACUUAUGCCACCUACAUUAUCAACAGAUUGGCUUCACGUGUUAUUGGAAAUAAAACCCCUUUGAACUGCUUUACCAUUACAAACCAAAUCACUCACAAAUCAAAGUAUUUGUGUGAAUGUUAUUCAUUUUUGAGACCAUACAACAAGCACAAGUUUGAUUUCCAUACUGCCAAAUGCACAUUGCUAGGGAUAAGUAUACCUCAUAAGGGAUAUGUUUGCAUGCAUCACUCAGGUAGAAUAUAUAUCUCUACAAGUGUCAAAUUCAAUGAAAGCUCAUUUCCUUUUUCUAAUGACCCCAAGUUCAAUAGACAAGAGUCCACAAAUCAGAGUGAUUUCAUUUCUCUUUUAGAAAAAUUUCAGGUCGUGUCAUUCUCUUUUGAUACUCCUCAAAUCACUCAGUCAGCAGCUGAUCAAAGCCACUCUCUUGAAACUUCUGAAACUUCAGAACAAUCCCAUAACCUUGACCAAGGUAAGACACAACAGAAUUUGAGCACUGACAUGAUAUCAAAUAAUCAGUUAUCUUCACCUCAUUGAAAUCACCAGCCUCAAGUAAAUGACCAACCUU
RNAcentral lists this long non-coding RNA (723 nucleotides) under Citrus sinensis (sweet orange). RNAcentral describes it as "long non-coding RNA (CSIN_LNC002440)". The record is from RNAcentral. Lineage: Eukaryota; Viridiplantae; Streptophyta; Magnoliopsida; Sapindales; Rutaceae.